Molecule: long non-coding RNA, 4749 nt
Organism: Leucoraja erinaceus (little skate)
Lineage: Eukaryota; Metazoa; Chordata; Chondrichthyes; Rajiformes; Rajidae
Exons: 3
Source: RefSeq, a predicted model, not a curated record
AUGGCUGCACACAGAGAAUAAACUAUAUACUGUGCAGCGCCACUUGCAGAACGGGAGGAGCAACGGGUCCUCCCACCCCACACAGUCCACCAAACAUCACAUCUAAUUCCAAGAAAUUCAGACAAAAAAAACUCUUCUCUCUCCGCUGUUCCUAGGAUAGAAAAAGGAUGUAUCCUACUUGAUUUUACUCCUAAGCAGCCUGUCUCUAAUUUCAACAUUGCAAUAUCUUAUUUGGGGUUUCCUUACGAGAAGAAAUUAAUUCUGUGCAUUUCCUUGACUGUCCCCAUUCACCAUUCGAAACGUAGCAAGUAUUAACUCAUAAUUCAACCUUGAAACUCAAAGAAAUACAAAACUAACUAAUGAGACAUACUCUUAAUCUAACCACUUGAAACUUGGAAUAAUGUUGAUGAAUUCAUACGUGAGCCUCUGCCUGGCCAAUAAAUCCUGCCUGACUGAUGCAUAGUGCUGAACGAGAUACUCCAGAUGUGGCCUGGUAAAAGCUAGAUGUAAAAAAAGAGUAUUCUAUUCAUUAUUGGUUGCUUUUAGUUAUUAGUUACAUGGGCACAGAAAUCCCUUUGUGCAUCAUUGUUUCUUGACCCUCACAAUUAGGAAAACAUUUUGAAUUGUUGUUCUUUAAUCCUAACAUAGCAAACUUCACAUUCCCCACACCAAAAUUUGAAUGACACUAUUUUUCUUAAUGGUGUAAUGGUCGGUCAUUCGUGACUUCCUAUAUGUAUUUGGACAACGUGAUUGACUAAUAUCCUUUAGAGAAGAAAAUCUGUCAUUGAUUUUGUCAUUAUCAAUUUGGUCUCCAACCUACAUGUGUGAUUGAUUCCACCCAUUGGACCUGACUUAGCAAGGCCACUUCAUGGAAAUUAGAGUUGGUCAGUACAUGAUGCGCUUGCCAGCAGCACUCUGAUCCCAUCAAAGGAUUUUUUAAAUGGCACAACUACCUUCAAACUGUGAGGACAUUUCUGCUGGAGACACAAGAGACUGCAUGUGUUGAAAUAUUGAGCAAAACACAACGUGCUGGAGUACUUCAGUGGGUCAGACAGCAUCUGGGGAAGGGAUGGAUAGAUGACGUUUCAGGCUGGGACCCUUCUUCAGACUGAUUAGAGUGGCGGGGAGAGAGGUGUAAGCGGGACAAAGCCCAGCAAGUGAUAGGUGGAUACAGGUGGGGAGGAGGAUUUGAUUGGAGGAUGGAUCGAGGUGACGUUUAAAGGGCAUCUGAUGAGGAGUGAAAUGUAAAGCCAGAGGGAGAGAUAUGGGUGAGAGGGGCAUGUCCAUUCUCUCCACAGAUGUCCUGACUUGCUGAGUUCCUCCAGUGCUUUGUUUUGCAAUAGAAACUUCUGCACAUCAUUUGCUAUCUUCCUGCUGAUUACUUCUUUCUGUUCCUUUUCGUUGUAGUGAAAUAGUUCCCUCAUAUAGGACCUUCCAUUAAGCAGGUUCAUCUCCUAUAGGUGUUUACAUCGCCUUUACAUUUACAGAAAACAAUUUAGAUCCUCAUUGUUUAUUUAUUUAUUUGGCUUAUUAGCUUUCUUUGCUGCCUCUCUCACAUUCUGCUGUAUUAUAAAUUUGUGUUCUCUCUCUUAUCCUUCCCUUUCUUUUUGCAUCACAAAAACAAAUUCUAUUUAAGGAUUGUUGACUUGAAACUUUGAGUCUUGUUUCUUUGUCUCCAAAUGCCACCUGGCAAGUUAAGCAUUUUCAGUUUUCCAUGUUUAAAUUGGAGAUAUGAUAAUUAUCUAAUAUGGUAAUCUGACUAGUUUAAUUUGUUUUAGAGAAAUAGGAUAAAAACAGGCCCUUCGGCCCACCGAGUCCUAGUCAUCCAUUGAUCACCUGUUCACACUAACUCUGUCAUCCCACUUUCUCAUCCAUUCCCUGCACAUUAGGGGACGUUCACAGAGGCAAAUUAACCUGCAAACCCUCACGCCUUGGAAUGUGGGAGGAAACCCACAAGGUCACGGGACGUGCAAACUCCACACAGACAACGCCUGAGAUAAUACGAGUUAACCUGGACUAGUGACUGAGCUGUAUGCAAAAAUGAAGUUUACUUUACUUGGUACAGGUGACAAUAAAGUAGCAUUGAACCAUCAUGGUUGUACGUUCAUAUUCAAACUCCAUCUCUAACACCAGCAACAAUGACAAGAUGGCAUACAGGAAGGAGAAAGAGAACUUUGUAACAUGACGUCAGGUCAAUAACCGCUCCCUCACUGUCGGCAAGUGAAGGAGCUCGAUAUUGACCAGAUACCGUGGAGGAGUACAUGCCCCAAUCACUAUCAAUUGUUCCAAGGUGGAAAUGGCUGAGAACUUCAAGUUUUUUGGCUUUAAUAUUAUCAAUGAUCUAUUGUGAACCAACCACAUUGAUGAGACCACCAAGAAGGCACAGCAACGCCUGUGUUUCUAGGCGAGACUGAGGAAAUGUGGCAUGUCUCUAAUGAUUUUCACAGACUUCUGCAGAUGCGCCAUCGAAAGCAUGGUGUUGGGUGGCAUCACAGGUUGGUUUGGGAACAGCUCUGCCCUAGGCCACAAUAAACUGUCUAUGGAAUUGAUGUACUACAAUGCUGAGAACUAUAUUCUGCACUCUGUAUCUUCCUGUUUGUACUUGACUUGACUUGAUUGUAUUAUCUGAUUGGAUAAGAUGCUGAGCAAAACUUCUCACUAUACCUUGCUACACAUGACAAUAAUAAACCUAACCAGUCCUUGCCUUUCCAAAUGUGAUUUGAUCCUGUCUCAAGAUCCCCUCCAAUAACUUGCCCAUGAUGGAUGUAAGGUUUACUGAUAUGUGGUUUCCAGAAUUUUCCUUGCAAAAUGUCUUAAAUAGAGGCACAUUUAGCAACCCUGCAGUCUUCCGACACCUCACUGUGGUUAUAGAUGAUAUACAUAUCACUGCCAGGGCCCCAGUGAUUUCUUCCUGAGCUUCCUACAAGAUCCUAGAGCACACUUGAUCAUGUCCUGAGUAUUUAUCUACCUUAAGCCAUUUAAGGCUGACAAUGGCCUGUGUUCUUUAUCAACGUUACAUUUUUGCACACCUUCCAGUCAAUGUUCUAUAUCUCUCUACAUCAGUGUCUAUAUCUCUCGUUUCCCUUUCCCGUGACUGUCAGUCUGAAGAAGGGUCUCAACCCAAAACGUCACCCAUUCCUUCUCUCCAGAGAUGCUGCCUGUCCCGCUGAGUUACACCAGCUUUUUGUGUCUAUCUUCGGUUUAAACCAGCAUCUGCUGUUCCUUCCCUCACCUUAAAGCUACCAGCUCCUCCUCUUCUGCAAUGUGGAUUCUCUUUGACAUCACUAAUAACUUCCUUGAGUUCCCAGCACCCAUGCCUUUCUCAAUGGUAAAUACAAACAAGGAAUAUGUUUUUAUCACUUUGCCCCUCUCCUGUGCCUUCACAUAUAUAGAUGACCUGGUUGAUCUUUAAGAAGCCCUGUUCUCUGCCUACUUACUUUUUGCUCUUAAUCUACAUAGAAUCUCUUAGCUUUGGCAGUUCAAAGAUAAUCUAUCUCCUUAUUUCCUACUUCAAUGUGUUCCUUUCUCCCCUGCACUCUUCCUCCUACUGCUUAAUCCCAGCUGCCUAUAACUAACAAACGCCCCAUUUGUCUUUACCAGAGCCUCAAUACCAUUUGAGGGUUCCCUAUUCCUGCCAGUCUUGCCAUUCACUCUAACAGGAAUAUCUUUGCCCUGACCUCCUGCUAUCUCACUUUUUAAUAGUCUCCCACUUGCCAGUUGCACUGUGGCGCAGCGGUAGAAUUGCUGCCUUGCAGCGCCGGAGAACCGGGUUCGAUCCCAGCUACGGGUGCUGUUUGUACGGAGUUUGUACGUUCUCCCCGUGACCUGCGUGGGUUUUCUCCAAGAUCUUCGACUUCCUCCCACACUCAAAAAACCAUAUAACCAUAUAACAAUUACAGCACGGAAACAGGCCAUCUCGGCCCUACAAGUCCGUGCCGGACAAUUUUUUUCCCUUAGUCCCACCUGCCUGCACUCAUACCAUAACCCUCCAUUCCCUUCUCAUCCAUAUGCCUAUCCAAUUUAUUUUUAAAUGAUACCAUCGAACCUGCCUCCACCACUUCCACUGGAAGCUCAUUCCACACCGCUACCACUCUGAGUAAAGAAGUUCCCCCUCAUGUUACCCCUAAACUUCUGUCCCUUAAUUCUGGUCAUGUCCUCUUGUUUGAAUCUUCCCUAUUCUCAAAGGGAAAAGCUUGUCCACAUCAACUCUGUCUAUCCCUCUCAUCAUUUUAAAGACCUCUAUCAAGUCCCCCCUUAACCUUCUGUGCUCCAGAGAAUAAAGACCUAACUUAUUCAACCUUUCUCUGUAACUUAGUUGUUGAAACCCAGGCAACAUUCUAGUAAAUCUCCUCUGUACUCUCUCUAUUUUGUUGACAUCCUUCCUAUAAUUGGGCUACCAAAAUUGUACACCAUACUCCAGAUUUGGUCUCACCAAUGCCUUGUACAAUUUUAACAUUACACCCCAGCUUCUAUACUCAAUGCUCUGAUUUAUAAAGGCUAGCAUACCAAAAGCUUUCUUUACCACCCUAUCUAUAUGAGAUUCCACCUUCAAGGAACUAUGCACAGUUAUUCCCAGAUCCCUCUGUUCAACUGUAUUCUCCAAUUCCCUACCAUUUACCAUGUACGUUCUAUUUUGAUUUGUCCUGCCAAGGUGUAUAUAACCAUGCCAAGGUGUAUAUACAGGUACAGGUUUGUUGGUUAGUUGGCUUGGUAAAUGUGAAAUUGUUCCCUAGUGUGUGUAGGAUAGUG